This 496-nucleotide ribosomal RNA is filed under the name uncultured bacterium. RNAcentral describes it as "partial 16S ribosomal RNA". It matches the Rfam family "Bacterial small subunit ribosomal RNA", at positions 29 to 507 of the family's 1533-position model. The record is from RNAcentral.
AUGAACGCUGGCGGCGUGCCUAAUACAUGCAAGUCGAGCGAACAGACGAGGAGCUUGCUCCUCUGACGUUAGCGGCGGACGGGUGAGUAACACGUGGAUAACCUACCUAUAAGACUGGGAUAACUUCGGGAAACCGGAGCUAAUACCGGAUAAUAUAUUGAACCGCAUGGUUCAAUAGUGAAAGACGGUUUUGCUGUCACUUAUAGAUGGAUCCGCGCCGCAUUAGCUAGUUGGUAAGGUAACGGCUUACCAAGGCAACGAUGCGUAGCCGACCUGAGAGGGUGAUCGGCCACACUGGAACUGAGACACGGUCCAGACUCCUACGGGAGGCAGCAGUAGGGAAUCUUCCGCAAUGGGCGAAAGCCUGACGGAGCAACACCGCGUGAGUGAUGAAGGUCUUCGGAUCGUAAAACUCUGUUAUUAGGGAAGAACAAAUGUGUAAGUAACUAUGCACGUCUUGACGGUACCUAAUCAGAAAGCCACGGCUAACUACGUG